Non-coding RNA from Schistosoma rodhaini, 45 nucleotides. The record is from Rfam. NCBI's taxonomy places the organism in Eukaryota, Metazoa, Platyhelminthes, Trematoda, Strigeidida, Schistosomatidae.
AUCCAGCCGAAGAGUCCAAAACAAGACGAAACGUUCAUCCUGGAU